AUGCAAUGGGGAAGACGACAGGUGAUUAGCAAGCUCAAUGGAGCAGUUCACAGGAUUGAUGAAGAAUGUAAUGAAGGUUUUGGUCUUACAGGAGAUUGUGGAUGGAACAAAUGGAGGACGGAUGACAACAGACAGCUCAGAGUAACGGGCAAUCAUGCUACAAACAUGGAGACAAGGGAGGAGACAGACGUUGGAGUGGAGCGCUGGAGAACACACUGGAGAAGACACAGGAGAACAUGUGCAAGCAAUUGUGUGUGAUUGGAGGACAUGAACGAUACACUUAAUGCAUCAUUCAAAAUGCACUGAGAGAAGGACGUGAAACGAAGGCUGAUGUCCAAGGAUCCUUCAUAUUGAGACAGGGUUUGAUGGUACUUGAUGACAUGGCAAAGAAGGUAUGCAGCCUUAGUAGGGCUGCAUUUCACUUGGCUUUUAUAUGCCCUUCUGUUGCUAACUUAUCUCCAUCUCGUUGAUUUGGCUGUACGCCUAAUACUGGCAGGAUCCUUGCAGUGAGUUGAAUCAGAAUAAAAUACAAUAGUACAUAGAUGUUGUGUAAUCAUACACUAAAUAACUAGAAACUUCCAGCCAGGUAUGUUGGAACUAAACUCUUACAGAAAUGUAUCCCUUCUGGAGAGGGAUUGGAUAUUGCUUUAAUUAUUCAUGUAAUAUCUUAAUAACUAUAAUAAGUUUUCCUUCCAUUUGCCUGGUCCUGAUUCUCCUACUAUUCUGUGUCUGUGUUAAUUAAGCACUGCUGUUUAAAGGGCCUUUACAAAGAAACUGUAUUUGACAGAGUUGUGUAUAGUAUGUAAUGUUUCGUUAAAAAUAAAAAUAAAAAAACAAAUCAAUACAAUGACAUUUAUUUAAUCAAGUCAAGUUAAUGGUCAAACACAAGUAGUCAUUCACAUGGUUUUGUUCUUUUGUUUGUCAUAUUGGUUCAAAAUAACAGUAGUUAUAACCCUAAAGGUCUGAGUCAUUAUGGCCAUUGACUCACAUAAACGGAUAAACAAAACAUAAUGAGUAAUUUCAAUGUGGAUUUGCAUAUAACGUCACAGAAUUGGAUUCCACUUCAGACUGAAACAAGUAAAUGUGAAUUUUACCUUAGAAAGGUCAGUGUGAAUCAAAUCUGGUUGAUGUCAUAUAAAGUAUUAAGGAAUUCAGCAAUAAUUAUUUAUUGAUUAAAGUCCAUAAAACACACACAUUCUGUGUCCUAUUCAUUGGCACACAGUUCCCUCACUCCUCUCCUUAUGCAUUUACAUUAGGCUACAGUAUGCUGCAUCUUUUUGUUUCUGUUCAGCUUUAUCUAAAUCAAGCUGGCAUAGGUUAACUGGGUGUGUUCAUUUAGCAUUUAACCUCAGUGCAAUUACAUAUAGAAAAAGGAGUAAAAGUGUCUGGUGUUGACAAUGAGAAGAAAACUUAUUGUAAUCCAUGAUCAUGAAAGGAAAAUGUGCAUGCAGUUUAUUUGCAUGUUUUGACAGAAUGACAAAUAAAGGUGAUGAGUGAAGUAACUAAGCUCAUUGUAAAGUUUUAUAUGGCAUAAUUUUAAGAGAAAGCCCAGUUGAAUGUAUCAGCACAAUGAUUUUAACAGCAGAGCCACAGAAUAGGUGAGAUCAGCUGUGUAGUUCCCAUUUUCUCCAGCAUGUAGAAUUGAAAUUGCCUCUGCAUAUCAUAAGAUGAUAUGACACCUGACAGAAAAAUUGAAGCCCUGGUUAUGGUUUAUGAAUGCUCAGGAAGGAAAUAUGGCAAGAUUGUGAGGAAGAGAAGUUACUAUUCUGAAUGUAGCAACGUUAUUCUUAGCCCUUUCAGAUGAACAUUUCCCAACUAAUCAGGCUGUUAAUUUGAAGAAAUUUCAUGACAAUAUAUAUGCCAAAGACAAUUUUUAGUGAGUAAACAAUUGCAUAAACUUUGUUAGUAUUUGGAAGCUUUGUUAAAGGGAUAGUUUUUAUAAUAUUCUAAUCCUUUAUCCAUUCAAACCUGUAUGACUUACUUCCUACACAAAAGAGUAUAUUUUGAAGGAUGUUUGUUUUGGAAAAUUAAUAUCUAUCUUUUUAACUUGAAUCAAACCCUAAGAUGUAUAGCCUUUCGUUUUCUGAAGCUAAACACUCCCAUAACAUGAUGUUGUCACCUCCAUGUUUCACAGCUGGGAUGGUGUUGUUCAGACUCAAAGCCUCACCCUUUUUCCUCCAUACAUAGUUCUGAUAAUUCUUUUUAUUUCAAGAGAGCAUGCAUG
Long non-coding RNA from Cyprinus carpio carpio, 2224 nucleotides. Lineage: Eukaryota; Metazoa; Chordata; Actinopteri; Cypriniformes; Cyprinidae. The record is from Ensembl.